This 491-nucleotide ribosomal RNA is filed under the name uncultured bacterium. RNAcentral's name for it is "bacterial SSU rRNA". It matches the Rfam family "Bacterial small subunit ribosomal RNA", at positions 34 to 507 of the family's 1533-position model. The record is from RNAcentral.
CGCUGGCGGCAUGCCUAACACAUGCAAGUCGAACGGAGAUUAUUUCGGUAAUCUUAGUGGCGAACGGGUGAGUAACGCGUAGGCAACCUGCCCUUAGUUGGGGACAACAUCCCGAAAGGGGUGCUAAUACCGAAUGUGAUCGUUUUCUCGCAUGAGAGAGCGAUGAAAGAUGGCCUCUAUUUAUAAGCUAUCGCUAAAGGAUGGGCCUGCGUCUGAUUAGCUAGUUGGUGGGGUAACGGCCUACCAAGGCGAUGAUCAGUAGCCGGUCUGAGAGGAUGAACGGCCACAUUGGGACUGAGACACGGCCCAGACUCCUACGGGAGGCAGCAGUGGGGAAUCUUCCGCAAUGGGCGAAAGCCUGACGGAGCAAUGCCGCGUGAGUGAUGAAGGAAUUCGUUCCGUAAAGCUCUUUUGUUUAUGACGAAUGUGCAGACUGUGAAUAAUGGUUUGUAAUGACGGUAGUAAACGAAUAAGCCACGGCUAACUACGUG